Mus pahari (shrew mouse) is the source of this 142-nucleotide small nucleolar RNA. RefSeq annotates it as small nucleolar RNA SNORA48. The transcript has a single exon. Lineage: Eukaryota; Metazoa; Chordata; Mammalia; Rodentia; Muridae. The record is from RefSeq and is a predicted model, not a curated record.
ACCCCCAGCAAUGGGCACAGAGACACUUCAUUGGUGGUGGUGUUCUUGGAUCAGUCAGGGGCAGAGCAGAUGGCAGUCCCUGUUCAUCCUAGCUUGAUGCCUGGCUUGGUGGUCAAGGCUGUUUUAUGCCUAGGAAUCAUAA